UGAACAGACAGCGGUGUUUGGUCGUCGAGCACAUGGAACUAUAAUCAGACAAAUGACGGCGCGAACCAUCCUUUCAUAUGUUCGUUCCCCUUCACAUAUACAGAGCAGCAUUCGAAUUAAUGAAACUAACGAACACCAGGUAAUGGUGAAAACUCCAGAAAGAAGACCGGUCAAAGGAUACAACCAUCUGGAACUAUUUUGGGGCUUCACCUCGUGGUUGACCGGUCUAAACUUCACUCAAAUGGUGUUCCUAUUCUACCGAACGGAUCUGAGCAAUAUUUUGACAGAGUGGGCGCUCAGAUCCCUGCUAUUCGGUGAAGUAUCUUUCGUGGAGUUAUG
This is a non-coding RNA of Pelobates cultripes (western spadefoot toad), 339 nucleotides long. The record is from the annotation of a GenBank genome assembly. NCBI's taxonomy places the organism in Eukaryota, Metazoa, Chordata, Amphibia, Anura, Pelobatidae.